Molecule: ribosomal RNA, 32 nt
Filed under: Stenomesson miniatum
Lineage: Eukaryota; Viridiplantae; Streptophyta; Magnoliopsida; Asparagales; Amaryllidaceae
Description: partial 5.8S ribosomal RNA
Source: RNAcentral
UGCACGACUCUCGGCACGGAUAUCUUGGUCUC